Molecule: ribosomal RNA, 200 nt
Filed under: uncultured bacterium
Lineage: Bacteria
Description: partial 16S ribosomal RNA
Rfam family: Bacterial small subunit ribosomal RNA
Source: RNAcentral
UAGGCUGCAACUCGCCUACAUGAAGUUGGAAUCGCUAGUAAUCGCGAAUCAGAAUGUCGCGGUGAAUACGUUCCCGGGUCUUGUACACACCGCCCGUCACACCACGAGAGUUUACAACACCCGAAGUCAGUGGCCUAACCGCAAGGAGGGAGCUGCCUAAGGUGGGGUAGAUGAUUGGGGUGAAGUCGUAACAAGGUAUC